AUACGUAGGGGGCGAGCGUUGUCCGGAAUGAUUGGGCGUAAAGGGCGCGUAGGCGACUUUGCAAGUCAGUAGUGGAAGUCCAUUUUUCAAGGAUGGAAGUGCUACAGAAACUGCGGAGCUUGAGUGCAGGAGAGGUUAUCGGAAUUCCCGGUGUAGCGGUGAAAUGCGUAGAGAUCGGGAGGAACACCAGUGGCGAAGGCGGGUAACUGGACUGCAACUGACGCUGAGGCGCGAAAGUGUGGGGAGCAAACAGGAUUAGAUACCCUGGUAGUCCACACUGUAAACGAUGAAUGCUAGGUGUAGGAGGUAUCGACCCCUUCUGUGCCGCAGUAAACACAGUAAGCAUUCCGCCUGGGGAGUACGGUCGCAAGAUUAAAACUCAAAGGAAUUGGCGGGG
This 397-nucleotide ribosomal RNA is filed under the name uncultured bacterium. RNAcentral describes it as "partial 16S ribosomal RNA". It matches the Rfam family "Bacterial small subunit ribosomal RNA", at positions 523 to 918 of the family's 1533-position model. The record is from RNAcentral.